CCAUCCCCAUCACCACCUCCACCUUACUACUACAAGUCACCACCUCCACCGUCACCUUCUCCUCCACCUCCCUACUAUUACCACUCACCACCUCCACCAGUAAAAUCUCCUCCUCCCCCCUACUACUACAACUCACCUCCUCCACCCGUGAAAUCACCCCCUCCACCAGUAUACAUGUACGCCUCCCCACCACCUCCGACCCACUACUAAGUUCUAAAAAGAGCUUAGCCAUUCUCCAUAACCAAUUAUAUCCUACUUUGAGGAGAAGCUCCAAACAUCAUUGGGAUAAAGCAGUCAACAUGGAGCAAUUUGUUUCUUCUUCUCUUGUGGCUUUUUUCUUGCACAUUGUUAUCAUUGUAUCAACAACUUAAUUAAUUAUUCCUCAUAGGAAGAAAAUAAUUUGUUAGUGGUCCUUUAAGGUGUAUCUGACUUUGAUAUCUUAAAGGCUUUAUUUUAUUCAUUUUUCCAUUAGUUAUAACUACUUGUUUUGUGUAUCUUCAUGUGCUUUAUGCACCAAAUCAAUAAAAUAUAAAAUUUCUUCUUUUU
Molecule: non-coding RNA, 546 nt
Organism: Solanum lycopersicum (tomato)
Lineage: Eukaryota; Viridiplantae; Streptophyta; Magnoliopsida; Solanales; Solanaceae
Source: RefSeq, a predicted model, not a curated record